UGGGUUGCUUCUCUCUGGAUUUUAUCC
This 27-nucleotide non-coding RNA is filed under the name Mus musculus (house mouse). Lineage: Eukaryota; Metazoa; Chordata; Mammalia; Rodentia; Muridae. The record is from RNAcentral.